CACCGGGCAUUUUUGACAGCAGCAGACGCCAGUGAAGCCUAUGGCAACCUUCUUAGUUGAGGGCGGAAGCGAGGGCAGCGUGGCACAAGUGGUGCUCACAGAUUCUCUUGGUCGCUUGUGGCAGUGGCGCGCAGGAUGUUGCGUCGCGAGGCCCGUCUGCGCCGCGAGUACUUAUACCGCAAGGCCCGGGAGGAGGCUCAGCGAUCCGCCCAGGAAAAGAAGGAGAAGAUUCGGCGCGCGCUAGAAGAAAACCGCCUGAUUCCCACGGAGUUACGCCGGGAAGCGUUAGCCUUACAAGGGUCCCUGGAGUUUGAUGACGCUGGUGGUGAAGGUGUGACCAGCCAUGUGGAUGACGAGUAUCGAUGGGCCGGGGUUGAGGAUCCAAAAGUCAUGAUCACCACUUCCAGAGACCCCAGUUCCCGCCUCAAGAUGUUUGCAAAGGAGCUGAAGCUGGUGUUCCCAGGUGCCCAACGCAUGAACCGAGGCCGGCAUGAGGUGGGGGCACUGGUGCGAGCCUGCAAAGCCAAUGGGGUCACCGACCUCCUGGUAGUCCACGAACAUCGAGGCACACCUGUGGGGCUCAUUGUCAGCCACCUACCCUUUGGCCCUACCGCGUACUUCACACUCUGCAAUGUUGUCAUGCGGCAUGACAUCCCUGACCUGGGCACCAUGUCAGAGGCCAAGCCCCACCUCAUCACACACGGCUUCUCUUCCCGCCUGGGCAAGCGGGUGUCUGACAUCCUCCGUUACCUGUUCCCCGUGCCCAAAGAUGACAGCCACCGAGUCAUCACCUUCGCGAACCAGGAUGACUACAUCUCAUUCCGGCACCACAUCUACAAGAAGACAGACCACCGCAAUGUGGAGCUGACUGAAGUCGGGCCUCGCUUUGAGCUGAAGCCAUACAUGAUUCGCCUGGGCACACUGGAGCAGGAGGCCACAGCAGACGUGGAGUGGCGCUGGCACCCCUACACCAACACUGCACGCAAGAAGGUCUUCCUGAGUGCUGAGUGAACCUGUCUGCCAGGAUGUGGACUUGGAACCCAGAAGGGGUUGUGUCACAGAUAGGCCUUCUGAGCUCAGGCUCACCCUUGGAGAUGGGGGUGAAGUCCCCUUGGGAAGCGAGGCCAGGUCCUGUCCCUGACUGCACACUGAGCUUACUCCAAGUGAGUGUGGGCUGCCAAUGGACUGCUGUGAGGGGACAGCCCAACUCUGCAUCAGGGUCCACCCUCUGCCUGCCUCUGACACUCCCCCGGGAGGUUAUAGUGGUCAUAGGAGGGCCCUUGCAGCCGAGGAAGGCUCCACGCUUAGCCUGUUCAGUGCCCAUGUUCCCUGUGUCUACCCAGGGGUCUGAAGCAGAGAGAGUGUGGAAACCCUGCAAAAUGCAGUGAUUUGCUGGGAGGGGCAGGGUUGAGGAUGGAUGGUGGUGGGGGCCUCUGUGAGGUGGUCCUGAGCUAACGAUGGUGCGAGGGGGCAGAGGCCACCUGGAUGGUCCAUGCAAAGGCCCUAAGGUGGACAGUGCUUGGAAGGGUUCCAGGAAUAGGAGCUGCCCAGUAGGAGAGGGGAUAUGAAGGGGCCUGGAGACCCACCAGAUCACAGUAUUUAGGUGGGACAGGGACCUCGAGGGACCUCUGCUCCUUGUGGCCCCACUCUGGUGAACCCAGUUCCUUUUGCAGGACCUCUCCACCUUGCUGCAACCUCGAUCCACUGAUGAAGACUGUGCCAUUAAGUUUUCUUAUAAAUGGCAGAAAUUUUGAAACAGAAAAGUAUGAUAGUUGAAUGAAUGUCCUGUGUCCAUUUCCUGUGGCUGCCACAUGAAUUUCUACAAGCUUGGUGGCUUAAACUGAAUUCUUUCACGGUUCUGAGGCCAAAGUCCAAAAUCGAGGUGCUGGCUGUCUUCCAAGGCUGGCGGGGGGCAUAAAUGGGGGUCCUAUCACUUGCCCCUCUCUAGCUGCUGGUGGUACCUUGGCCCAUAGGAGCAUUACUUCAGCCUCUCCCUUCAUUUUCAUCCAUUCCUUAUCAUAAGGAAUUGGAGGGAGAAGACAUGUUUCCUCCCUAUCUGUAUCCAGUGUGUUUCCUCCCUAUCUGUAUCUCCUCAGUAUGUCUUAAAAAUAAGAGGCUUUUGCUGUAGGGCGAGUGCUCUCACCAGAAAGAGAGCAAGAAUUCAUCCUUGCGGGGAGGAUAACCGCGCUGCAGCGCCCCUUCCUUCACUCUCCUCUCAGGAUCCCGGGUACACAUGCACAUGUGCCCGGCAUGAGCUCAAGCCACCCUGUCUGGGACUUGAACCGUGCUCGACCACAUGGGAGUUCAGCAAUGCAACCACUACACCAUCCACUGGUCCUCUCAAGUGUGUCUCUUAAAAGGACCUUGACGUUUGGAUUUAGGGCCCACAGGAUAACCUCUUCGUUUCAGGAUUUUGAACUUCUACAUCUGCAAAGACCCUUUUUUCCAAUAGUUAUUUUGACAGGCUCCUAGGAUUAGUAUGUGACUGUAUCUUUGGAGGGGGUGGGAACCAUCCAACCCACUUCAUAUCCCUGUAACUCCCUUAGUGGUCAUGGGCUUCCUGCCCUCCCCCAUCAUCCCCUAUAGAAACC
Tupaia belangeri chinensis (Chinese tree shrew) is the source of this 2591-nucleotide RNA transcript. It is a transcript of the gene named IMP U3 small nucleolar ribonucleoprotein 4, with no coding region annotated. The record is from RefSeq and is a predicted model, not a curated record. NCBI's taxonomy places the organism in Eukaryota, Metazoa, Chordata, Mammalia, Scandentia, Tupaiidae. The transcript has 10 exons.